This 505-nucleotide ribosomal RNA is filed under the name uncultured bacterium. RNAcentral's name for it is "partial 16S ribosomal RNA". It matches the Rfam family "Bacterial small subunit ribosomal RNA", at positions 28 to 507 of the family's 1533-position model. The record is from RNAcentral.
GACGAACGCUGGCGGCGUGCCUAAUACAUGCAAGUAGAACGCACAGUUUAUACCUUAGCUUGCUACACCAUAGACUGUGAGUUGCGAACGGGUGAGUAACGCGUAGGUAACCUGCCUGGUAGCGGGGGAUAACUAUUGGAAACGAUAGCUAAUACCGCAUAAUAUUGAUUAUUGCAUGAUAAUUGAUUGAAAGAUGCUAUUGCAUCACUACCAGAUGGACCUGCGUUGUAUUAGCUAGUAGGUGAGGUAACGGCUCACCUAGGCGACGAUACAUAGCCGACCUGAGAGGGUGAUCGGCCACACUGGGACUGAGACACGGCCCAGACUCCUACGGGAGGCAGCAGUAGGGAAUCUUCGGCAAUGGACGAAAGUCUGACCGAGCAACGCCGCGUGAGUGAAGAAGGUUUUCGGAUCGUAAAGCUCUGUUGUAAGAGAAGAACGGGUGUGAGAGUGGAAAGUUCACACUGUGACGGUAUCUUACCAGAAAGGGACGGCUAACUACGUG